This 194-nucleotide unclassified non-coding RNA is filed under the name plant metagenome. RNAcentral describes it as "partial contains small subunit ribosomal RNA, internal transcribed spacer 1, and 5.8S ribosomal RNA". The record is from RNAcentral.
UUUCCGUAGGUGAACCUGCGGAAGGAUCAUUACAGAGUUCAUGCCCGAAAGAUAAGACCUCCCACCCUUGUGUAUUAUCACUUUGUUGCUUUGGCGAUAGCAUGCUGGGCUAAGAAUAACAAAACUCUUUUUAUAAAUGUCGUCUGAGUAAUAUAUAAUAGUUAAAACUUUCAACUACGGAUCUCUUGGUUCUG